AAACACAAGAACUUUCUGGGAAUUUCAGGGAAAUUCAGAAGAGCUCACUAAACUUCAGUGUAGUUGACGGAUAAUCGGAAAGACCUAGGAAAUCUCAGAUGAGUUAAGGGAAAUUUCAGGGUGAAAGACUUUUCAGUUCAGAGAAGCUUCGGAUAACUUUGGAGAAGUCCAGGAAAAUCUUGGAGAAACUCAAGGUCCAUCAAAGAACUUUUUGAAAAAUGCAGGGAAAUUCAGAUGAGCUAACACAACUUCAGUGUAGUUGACGGAUCAUCAGAAAGACCCAGGCAAGCUCAGAUGAGUUAAGGAAAUUUUCAUACAGACUCUUCAAUGCCGUCUAAAGUAGUCUCAGAGAAGGACAGAAAAACUUUGGAGAAGUUCAGGACAACCUCAGAGAAUGGCAGGACGAAAGACUUUUCACAGACAUCUAAGGCAAGCUCAGAUAAACUUCGGAGAAGUUCAGGAAAACUUUGGAGAUACUCAAGGUCCUUGAGAGAACUUUCUGAGGUAUUCAGAGAAAUUGAGAAGAGCUAACAAAACUUCAGUGUAGUUGAUGGAUAAUCGGAAAGACCCAGGAAAUCUCAGAUGAGUUAAGGGAAAUGUGUACAGACUCUUUCGAGACGAGCAACCGAAGUUUAGGGGAACCUCAGAGGGUUUUAAAGAAGUUCGGAUAUCGUCAUAAAAGUGCAUUGAAAUUCGGAUAACUCAAAUCAGCUAAUAGAAGUUCCGAAAACCUCAUAGAAAUUCAGAGAUUCUCUCUUAUCAAAAAUCCAGGGACCUUCGGGGAAGUCCAGAGAACUCUUGGGACGCCAACUUCACAAACCAAUAUUUUGACGAUUUUUAACCUACUCAGUAAGUGCUCGCACAAAGAUGCUUGGGAAACCUUCAGAAAGCCGGACACAAAUUUAAUUUUGCGCAGAUGACCGGAGAGCUUCAAAAAACUUCACGGAACCUCAGGCUACGAGCAUUGCAAACACAGGAAGAGCUCAACGAACCUAGAAAAGCUUCGAAAAAUUUCAACAAAUUCAGAGAUCCUCAGAGAACUUCAUGCCACGUCAGACGUUUCUGAGGUCGCCUGAAGUUCUCUGAGGAUCUCUGAAUUUGUUAAAAGUUUUCGAAGCUUUCCUUGAGGAACUUAGACAGUUUGGGAAGCUUUUCCGACGAAUCUAAACGAAGUAAUUGAAGUACCGAGAAUCUUACGGAAGUGAGCAGUUCCACGCCAAAUAACGAAUCGGAAGAACUCGACCUUCUCCGAUUUGUAUGAAAUUUUGCAUAAUUGUUUGCUAUGGGCAAUGAUUCACAUUUUCGCAAAAAUUCGGCCAUUUUGGAUUGGGGAAAAUUUUCAAAAUGGCGUCUUUGAAGAUUAAAAAAAAAAAAAAAUUGUAUCUCGGAAAUGCCACUUCUGAUCGAAAUAACGGCUGAGACAAAGUUGUGGAGAAAAAUUAUGUUUUUCUGGGAUAAAUAGUCAAACAAAUGUUUUUAUUAAAACAGUUUUUUGUAUAUUUUUCCAAGAAAGACAUUAUUUUUCUCUAUAACUUUGUCUCAGACGUCAUUUCGAUCAAAAAAUCCGUUUCCAUGCAAUUAUUUUUUUAAAGAAAACCAAGAACGCCAUUUUGAAAAUUUUGCAAGAUGGCCGAAUUUUUGCGGAAAAUGUGAAUCAUUGCCCAUAACAAGCAAUCGAAGAAGGUCGAUUCAAGAAAUCAAUUUUUUUUCGCCAUUUUGCCUGGAAUUGAUCAAAUACAAAAAAUCUUUAGGAUGUUUGAAGGACUUAGUGCAAUCCUACGUUCGAAACGUAUUUUCCACACAACAACAUGUUUUGUAUGGAAAGUACGUUUAGAACGUACUGGAUGUUUACAGACUUGCAGAGUCCCACCCAGAGUCCCCAGAAUCCAUAAAACAGUGUUGCCAAAAAAAUAUUCCGUUUAAACCAACUGCCAUCUGAAAUGCGCCCCCACCCUCUUCCCAGUAUCGUGGUUCUUCGGUUCCAGACCCCAAAGAAACGCGGAAAGUAGCCCACUCAGAAAGAGAACCGGCGUUUUAAAACAAGUCGCUCUCCCAGUCGAGCAAAGCAAGCAUAUUUUCCUAGAAAAAAAAUGUAUUGAAACAAUUUUAAACAAACCUUAAAACCGGAAAAACCGUUUUUGUCGGAAAGCAAAAAUCGAUCUCUUAGAAAAAAAGCAAAGAAAUAUAACAAAGUGAAUGAAAGCAAGUUGCAAUUUUUUUACGAAACUUACCUAAAUAUAAACAAGCAAACAAACAAACCAAGUUUCACACAGUGACAGUUUUCGUAUCUCUCCCGUUUUUUUUCCCAAACAAAGAAAAUAUUUCUUAAAGUUCUCUCUAUAAUUCAUGUUUAAACAACCAAGUAUUCAAAGCAAAACAGAAGCAAGAAAGCAAAGCAAACCAAUCAAGUGACGAGACAACUUCAAGAACAUGGGUACUUAAAAAACACUAAUGCUAACAUAACACAGAAAUGCUCUCUAGAACAUUAAAAACAAAAACUAGUAAGGAUAAAAUCCAGUCUUAAGUGAAACAAAAACAACUACUAGGAGUAAAACAGAAACAGAAUAAAAGAGAGACAAAAAGCAGAAACCAUAGAAAUCUAUUGAAAAAAAAACGCAUAACUAAUCGUUAGUGGUGUGCUACAGAAAACAGGAAAAGUCUAGAGAAAAGAAACAAUGAAAGCGUUUGCUGCUGUGUGAACGAGCGAGAGAGAGAGUGAGAUAGGUGUCAGGAGAAAUGUCAGCCUAAAAAUUCACCAGCACCACCAGGGGCACAGCAGCCAUGAACAUACAACAUAUAACAGCCAUACUACGACCCACAGAGACAUACCUUCACACAAACAAACACACAUCUGAGCGACACACAAACACACACACACGUGCAAGCAAAAGACGAAAAGAAGAAAACAUCGCAUCUUAAACUACAACUACUACUAUUACUACUUACUGACAUCGUCGCCAUAUUAGAUAGAAAACGUUUAUAAAUACUUAAACUGAAGGAUAAUAUUGAAACAAACAACACUAUUUACGCGCAUAAUUGUAAUAUAUUAUUAUCACCAAAAAAAAACCACGAAGAUAAAGAAUCGCUAGAAAGAGACAGCGGAACCGAGUAGGAAACGUAUUGUAAGUGUAGGAAAUGUUCUCUCGUCGUCGGUUCUUUUUUCUUAACUUAAAAACACACACAUUCACACCAAAUCAAAUCAUAGCAUCGUCGUACAUACACACAUACACAGACACACACACACACAAUCAAUCACACGCACUCACUUGCAUCAUUAUACUAUAGAGUAGCUAAUUCGGUUUUCGCGGCGUACUGUAGGGAUAUGAACGAACCAAAAACCAAACAAACAAAAGAAAAUUCUAGCAGAAGCUCGAUUCUCACGACAUGUUGACCAAAAAAAAAACACUAUUGUAUUGUAGCAUGCGUACUAUUACUACUAGUGUGGGUAUAAAGGAAGGUUAGGAUCGUAGUUUUCGAAGUCGCGGUGGCGAAAAAAAAACGAAACGUGAGCUGCGUCAAAACCGGCUGAAAGUUCCCACCUUUCAUUUAAAAAAAAAUCUUGUCCGAAAGGUGUGAACAAGAUUGGCGCUGUGUUUGACCCCCACACGAUCCAAAUAUUUGUUUUCUCAGCGUCGGUAAAAAUUAGCUAAACCAAUCAAGAUGAAUCAAAACGCAUUUGAAUUUGAAAGCAUUGUUGUGAUCUCUUUGAAAACCUUCCCGAUCCGUUGACCCCACCCAUAUAUCCAUCGAAUCCUUCCUCCCCCACCUCGUCCCCCCACCCCCGUUAUAUUAAGCGUGGUUGUAUUGUAGCGCACAACAACGGCCAAAAAGCGAUUCGUUUGAAGCGGGCACACCGCAGGGCUCUAUCGAACUCGAUCAAAGGCGAAUUACUCCCCGAACGGCAAGAUAAAGAAAGGGUAGGAACAGUAGUAGCAAAUGCAAAUCAAAGGAAACUGUGUCGAAGACUUAAAAAUCGAUUAUCGAGUGUCAAACUCAGCCGAACAUUGUCAAAGGAUUAUUCAAGAAGUGCCCACCCUCACCACCUUGAUGGUCAACCGUUGCGAGGGAUGACGAAGUCAGGACGGAAAAUGUGCUCUUCUCUUCGACUGCCAAGAUGAUGGGGGAAAGGAACGGGCGAAUGGCGAAUGAUUAACGAGAGCCAUCAGGCGGCGAGAAAGUGAAAAUGGAAAUCAAUCUUCUUCUUUGGCACCGAACCGAGCGACGAGGAGGAGUCAGCAGCAGCAGCAGCAUCAGCUAAUUCCUCGAGCAUGAAGGAUCGCACCGAGGCCUAACAGAAAACAUAACGGUGUCAAUCCGAGCAAAUCUCACCGUGAACUGGAGCGAAAACAGCGGACGCCUUCGUUCAUUGUCCACCGCAAAUAAGGCAGCAAACAGCGGGCGUUGGCAACGGCUUCCGGGAAAACGUGUGUAAUAUCCAGCCAUCAAUAAUUAAUGGUUCACCUUUACUGGUACCAGGCGCCAUUUGUUCCGAAGGGGGGCUCGGCUGGUGCGGCAGCAGGAACAAGCAUUUUCCAUUAAAGCCGAUAGAGGUUAAAAACACGAAAACAAAAACCUCUACCGCCUUCUUUUCACAAUGGUUUAUUGUUUGCGAAGAUAGCAACAGCAACAAACUGUCAUCUCGCUCGAGCACCGGUUGCUACGACUAUAUGCCCUGUUGUAAAUGUAUCGGUUGAGCAAAAGACUUGAAAGGAGCAGAGCAUAAACUUUCGAGCACUUUCACCUGCUUCUGGAUGAGCCGUCGUCGUCGACGUCGAGUGUGGGUUGAUUGAUUUUUCAAGGGUUCUCUCCGAAAAAUCCAAUAUAAUGCGGUUAGGUACGUACGCGAAGUGUGCUCCAGCGCUCCAGCGCUGGCAGUUAAUAAAUCGCUUUUUGAGGUUAUUUGCAGCCGCUGUUGUGCCAGCUCGUUCGAUCUGUUUUCUCGCGAUUUGUAUAGGAAGUUAGCUUUAAAUCACGUUUUAGAUUAACCAACGUCACAGACUGAACUCACCACUGUCACCACCAAACCAACCAUCACACAAACAAAAUGUGACUUUUGGAAAGGCGAUCCGCUCUAUAAAGUGUUUAAUCCCAACUUUUCAAUCUAGGAAAAA
This is a long non-coding RNA of Ochlerotatus camptorhynchus, 5111 nucleotides long. RefSeq lists it as uncharacterized. The record is from RefSeq and is a predicted model, not a curated record. The transcript has 2 exons. NCBI's taxonomy places the organism in Eukaryota, Metazoa, Arthropoda, Insecta, Diptera, Culicidae.